This 376-nucleotide ribosomal RNA is filed under the name uncultured eukaryote. RNAcentral describes it as "partial 18S ribosomal RNA". It matches the Rfam family "Eukaryotic small subunit ribosomal RNA", at positions 592 to 976 of the family's 1831-position model. The record is from RNAcentral.
CAAUAGCGUAUAUUAAAGUUGUUGCAGUUAAAAAGCUCGUAGUUGGAUUUCGGGGCAGCCUGGCUGGUCCGCCGCAAGGCGAGUACUGGUCAGCCGCCCUUCCUCUCGAAAGCCCCGACUGCUCUUUAUUGCAGUGGUCGGGUAGUUCGGGACGUUUACUUUGAAAAAUUAGAGUGUUCAAGGCAGGCCUACGCCUGAAUACAUUAGCAUGGAAUAAUGGAAGAGGACCUCGGUCCUAUUUUGUUGGUUUCCAGGACCGAAGUAAUGAUUAAGAGGGACAGUUGGGGGCAUUCGUAUUUAAUUGUCAGAGGUGAAAUUCUCGGAUUUAUGAAAGACGAACAACUGCGAAAGCAUUUGCCAAGGAUGUUUUCAUUAA